AGACGACGCUUAACACUCCACUAGCUUCAGCUAGUGCAAUAUUAAAAAGCAUAAUUCGACCAAUACAUUUGUAUCAAGUGCUGUGACCUACCUAAAUAAUAACAUUCAAUAUGCUGUUUUUACUGCGCCAGCAUACUUUGAUUUGUUGCAAAGGCAAGCAAUUAAAGAUGCUGCCAACAUUGCUGAUUUAAAUGUUAUACGAAUAGUUAAUGAAUCCACAGCAGCAGUAAUUACUUACGCUGCACAGAAAAAAGAGAAAAAUAAAAUUAUUGCUGUUUAUGACUUGGGUGGAGGUGCAAUUAGUGCGGCAAUGUUAGGAGAAGUGUUAGCAGAAUAAAAAACAGAUAUGCCACUCUUUCAUCAGAAUUCUUAAUUUUUAACGGUAAAUUGCCAAAAAUGUCUCGAACUAUACAUUGUACUAUUGGCAUUCUUGCCACCAACUAAUAUAACUUUCUUAAUGCAAUAUUUGGUUAGUUCAGCAUCAGAUAAUGCUUUUUCGUAAAGUUCAGUAAUAAGUUUAAUUAGAUCACUUUUUAUUAAAUUGUUAAGUGUAUUCCUCUAUAAUUUACGCUUUAAAUGCUUUGACCCUUUAACAAUAGUAAGACAGAAAAGAUUUAUAACGGUUUGAAAUGAACUUGAUAAAUCUAUGUUAGCUAUUUCAGCAGCUUGUUUUAAUCUUGUUAGUGCUACUGAAUCUGUGCUGACAUCUAUAAAAUGCUGCAUUAUUUUAUGAAAUUAGUUAUUAUUAACAUAAAUUUAUUUUAAGAAACAAUUGUAGUUAGGAAAAACGCAUACCUCUUUUUUAAAUUCAGAUGUAAGAUAACCAACUAUCUGUUUUUUGUUCUGCUAACACUUCUCCUAACAUUGCCACACCAAUUGCCACACUUUCAUCAGAAUUCUCAAUUUUUAAUGGUAAAUUGCCAAAAAUGUCUUAAACUCUUACAAACAUGCUUGUGAAGUUUGUUUGUUUUCUUUAUAGAACACGAGUUAUAGCAAAGUUAAGAUAUUAUUUUUAUAGUUAAGAUAUAUUUUUAUUAUAAUUAUUUAUUAUUUUAUUUUGUUAUAUUUUUCUAUAACUAGUGUUCUUGGUCAAUUUUUAAAUGUUUUGAAGAGUAAAUUUUCACAUAAAGUACAUUACUUAUUAUGUACAUAGUUGAACACUAGUAUAAUGUAACUUUAGUGCAAAAUCAUUUUUCGUGCAAUCUAUGAAACAUGUCAUUUUAUGAUUUCUCGUUCGCUGUUGUUUAAUAAAUCUUGAAUUUUAUAUGGAA
RNA transcript from Solenopsis invicta (red fire ant), 1271 nucleotides. RefSeq lists it as uncharacterized. The transcript is spliced from 2 exons. The record is from RefSeq and is a predicted model, not a curated record. Lineage: Eukaryota; Metazoa; Arthropoda; Insecta; Hymenoptera; Formicidae.